Molecule: ribosomal RNA, 465 nt
Filed under: Vreelandella stevensii
Lineage: Bacteria; Pseudomonadati; Pseudomonadota; Gammaproteobacteria; Oceanospirillales; Halomonadaceae
Description: partial 16S ribosomal RNA
Rfam family: Bacterial small subunit ribosomal RNA
Source: RNAcentral
CCUACGGGGGGCAGCAGUGGGGAAUAUUGGACAAUGGGGGGAACCCUGAUCCAGCCAUGCCGCGUGUGUGAAGAAGGCCCUCGGGUUGUAAAGCACUUUCAGUGAGGAAGAACGCCUGGUGGUUAAUACCCAUCAGGAAAGACAUCACUCACAGAAGAAGCACCGGCUAACUCCGUGCCAGCAGCCGCGGUAAUACGGAGGGUGCGAGCGUUAAUCGGAAUUACUGGGCGUAAAGCGCGCGUAGGUGGCUUGAUAAGCCGGUUGUGAAAGCCCCGGGCUCAACCUGGGAACGGCAUCCGGAACUGUCAAGCUAGAGUGCAGGAGAGGAAGGUAGAAUUCCCGGUGUAGCGGUGAAAUGCGUAGAGAUCGGGAGGAAUACCAGUGGCGAAGGCGGCCUUCUGGACUGACACUGACACUGAGGUGCGAAAGCGUGGGUAGCAAACAGGAUUAGAUAGCCCGGUAGUC